UACGUAGGGUGCGAGCGUUGUCCGGAAUUAUUGGGCGUAAGGAGCUCGUAGGCGGUGUGUCACGUCGGCCGUGAAAACCUGCAGCUUAACUGUGGGCGUGCGGUCGAUACGGGCAUCACUGGAGUUCGGCAGGGGAGACUGGAAUUCCUGGUGUAGCGGUGAAAUGCGCAGAUAUCAGGAGGAACACCAACGGCGAAGGCAGCUCUCUGGGACGUUACUGACGCUGAGACGCGAAAGCGUGGGGAGCAAACAGG
Molecule: ribosomal RNA, 254 nt
Filed under: uncultured bacterium
Lineage: Bacteria
Description: partial 16S ribosomal RNA
Rfam family: Bacterial small subunit ribosomal RNA
Source: RNAcentral